GGGGACUGUAUGAAAACGGGGGUUUAUUCCCGACUCCUCUGAACGCUGGAUGUGUAUGCGCCUAUACCGCUGAUGCCACGGACUCGGACGUCCAGUCGCCAUUGAGAUGUGAUUCUCUCGGGGUUUCAUUUCACGUUGACCAAGCCGAGCACACCACCACUGGGUCUGCGUGGUGUCAGGAAGACUGAGCUGUGAGGAAAACAGCUCGCCCCAAGACCGUCUGGGCUCAGCAGGAAGCGCCGCCAUAUUUACUUCCAGGUCAACCUCAGACGUCAUGUGGACCAGAUGCCUGCUCUUCGUCUCA
This is a long non-coding RNA of Gasterosteus aculeatus aculeatus (three-spined stickleback), 304 nucleotides long. The record is from Ensembl. Lineage: Eukaryota; Metazoa; Chordata; Actinopteri; Perciformes; Gasterosteidae.